AAAAAUUCGAUGAAGAAGAGAGUAAUUGAUGGACAACUGGCAAGCGAGUUAGGGUUGGUGUGAGCCUAAUGCAGAACCCAUGAAUGAAGCGCACUUUGGAGAAGAUUCUCGAACAAGUAGUAGAGAAUAGCGGGGCGUCACCUCGUUAACAAUGGAAAGUGGUCAUAUUAAAUGGCAACUAGAGUGGUACCACGGGAUUAUGAUGCUCUCGUCUCUAAU
Molecule: non-coding RNA, 219 nt
Filed under: Lysinibacillus sphaericus
Lineage: Bacteria; Bacillati; Bacillota; Bacilli; Caryophanales; Bacillaceae
Description: Lysinibacillus sp. T-box sequence
Rfam family: T-box leader
About the family: Uncharged tRNA acts as the effector for transcription antitermination of genes in the T-box leader family.
Source: RNAcentral